AGUGAACGCUGGCGGUAGGCCUAACACAUGCAAGUCGAACGGCAGCACAGUAAGAGCUUGCUCUUACGGGUGGCGAGUGGCGGACGGGUGAGGAAUACAUCGGAAUCUACUUUUUCGUGGGGGAUAACGUAGGGAAACUUACGCUAAUACCGCAUACGACCUACGGGUGAAAGCAGGGGAUCUUCGGACCUUGCGCGAUUGAAUGAGCCGAUGUCGGAUUAGCUAGUUGGCGGGGUAAAGGCCCACCAAGGCGACGAUCCGUAGCUGGUCUGAGAGGAUGAUCAGCCACACUGGAAAUGAGACACGGUCCAGACUCCUACGGGAGGCAGCAGUUGGGAAUAUUGGACAAAGGGCGCAAGCCUGAUCCAGCCCUACCGCGUGGGUGAAGAAGGCCUUCGGGUUGUAAAGCCCUUUUGUUGGGAAAGAAAAGCAGCAGGUUAAUACCCCGCUGUUCUGACGGUACCCAAAGAAUAAGCACCGGCUAACUUCGUG
RNAcentral lists this ribosomal RNA (492 nucleotides) under uncultured bacterium. RNAcentral describes it as "partial 16S ribosomal RNA". It matches the Rfam family "Bacterial small subunit ribosomal RNA", at positions 29 to 507 of the family's 1533-position model. The record is from RNAcentral.